Molecule: RNA transcript, 6039 nt
Organism: Glycine soja
Lineage: Eukaryota; Viridiplantae; Streptophyta; Magnoliopsida; Fabales; Fabaceae
Gene name: TMV resistance protein N-like
Exons: 13
Source: RefSeq, a predicted model, not a curated record
UUAUCCCAACAUGAAAAAAGGUUUCAAGAAGAUAAAGUGAAGAUGGAAGAAGUGCAAAAAUGGAGAAAAGAUCUCGAAAGUGUGGCCGGUAUCAUUGGUUCGGAUAUCCGAAAUAAGAAUCAAUGCACAGAGAUUGAAAAUAUUGUACGAGAGGCAUGUGGUAUACUGCGUAUCAAAUUUUCAAGUCAUCCAAAUGAUGAACUAUUUCGGUUCUCUCAAAUGUUCAGUCAGCUCUUCUUCAUCUGACGCCAUAAAGAAAUAUGAUGUGUUUGUGAGCUUCCGCGGUGAAGACACAGGCAACAACUUUACUGCUUUUCUUUUACAAGCUCUCCGUAGAAAAGGCAUUAAUGCCUUCAAAGAUGAUGAAAAUCUCAAGAAAGGUGAAUUCAUAGAACCCGAGCUGCGGGAAGCUAUUGAAGGGUCUCGAAUUUUCAUUGUGGUCUUCUCAAAGAACUAUGCUUCCUCUAAUUGGUGUUUGGGUGAACUUGCACACAUCUGCUACUGUAUUGAAACAUCACGAAGACCAGUUCUGCCUAUUUUUUAUGAUGUUGAUCCAUUGGAGGUGCGUAAACAGAGUGGAUGUUAUGAGAAAGCAUUUGUGGAACAUGAAGAAAGAUUCGUAGAAGAUAGCAAGAAGAUGAAAGAAGUUCAUAGAUGGAGAGAAGCUCUGAAACAAGUGGCUAAUUUCAAAAGUGGUUGGGAUAUCAGAAAUAAGGCACUAUACGCAGAGAUUGAACAAAUUGUCGAAACAAUAAAUUAUGAAUUGGAUUCCAAAAGUUGCCCAAAUGAUGAUAUAGAUGGAGUCUCCCAAAUUUUUAGCUCUUUUUCAUCUCCCACGAGACCGACAUAUGACGUGUUUGUGAGCUUCUGCGGUGUAGACACACCCAACAACUUCACUGCUUUUCUCUUUGAUGCUCUCUCUCAAAAUGGCAUUCAUGCCUUCAAAGAUGAUACACAUCUUCAGAAAGGCGAAUCCAUAGCACCCAAGCUGCUACAGGCCAUUCAUGGGUCUCGCCUUUUCGUUGUGGUCUUCUCUAAGAACUCUGCUUCCUCAACUUGGCGCUUGCGUGAACUUGCACACAUCUGCAACUGCACUGAUGAAGCAUCCCCAAGUCGUGUUAUUCCAAUUUUCUAUGAUGUUGAUCCAUCGGAGGUGCGGAAACAGAGUGGUUAUUAUGGGAUAGCCUUCGCAAAACACGAAGAAUGAUUCAGAGAAGAUAAAGAGAAGAUGGAGGAAGUGCAGAGAUGGAGAGAAGCUCUGACACAAGUGGCCAAUAACUCUGGCUGGGAUAUCAGAAAUAAGUCACAACAUGCAAUGAUUAAAGAAAUUGUUCAAAAAAUAAAAUAUAUAUUGGGUCCCAAAUUUCAAAAUCUUCCAAAUGGUAAUAUGGUUGGGAUGGAAUUCUUGUGUUGAAGAAUUAGAAAAGUGUUUAGCAUUGGAGUCGGUUAGUGAUGUUCGAGUUGUCGGAAUUAGUGGAAUGAAGGGAAUAGGAAAGACGACUCUUGCCCGUGCUUUAUACGAAAAAAUAGCUGAUCGAUAUGAUUUUCAUUGUUUUGUUGAUGAUCUAAACAAAAUUUAUCAACUUUCUGGUUCACUAGGUCUACAAAAAGAAUUACUUUCUCAAUUUUUAAAUGAUGAAAAUCUAGAGAUUUGCAAUGCUUCUGUGGGAACAUAUUUGAUAUGGACUAUGCUAUGCAAUAAAUGAGGACUUAUAGUUCUUGAUAAUGUUAAUCAGGAUGAACAACUAUGUAUGUUUACAGGGGGUAUAGAGACUCUAUUAUGUGAAUGUCUUGGUGAAGGGAGCAAAAUCAUUAUAAUUUCUAGGAAUGAACACAUAUUAAUGACACAUGGAGUACAUCAUGUUUACCAAGUCCAGCCGUUGAAUCAAGACAAUGUUGUUCAGUUAUUUUGCAAAAAUGCUUUCAGAUGUGACUAUAUUAUGAGUGGUUAUGAAAUGUUGACACAUGAUGUACUAUCACAUGCUCAAGGUCAUCCCUUGACAAUUGAAGUAAUGGGCAAAUCUUUGGUUGGUCGAAAUGUUUCUCAGUGGAAAAGUGCAUUGGUUAGGUUAAGUGAAAUUAAAAGUAAGGAUAUUAUGGACGUGUUGCGAACAAGUUAUGAUGAUCUGGAAGAAAAAGAUAAUGAAAUAUUUUUAGAUAUUGCUUGCUUCUUCGGUCAAGAUUCUGAGGAUUAUGUGAAGGAAAUCCUAGAUUUUCGUGGAUUUUAUCCUGAAAUUGGCCUCCAAAUUCUUGUUGAAAAAUCACUCAUAACAAUUAGUCACGGGGUAAUUCAUAUGCAUAGCUUGCUGAGAGAUUUAGGCAAGUGUAUUGUUAGAGAAAAAUCACCUAAAGAGCCAAGAAAGUGGAGUAGACUAUGGGAUUGUGAAAAUCUCUACAAAGUUAUGUCGGACAAUAUGGAAGCAAAACAUUUGAAAGCCAUAGUUGUUGAAGAUAAAACACGGAUGUCUUUUUGAAACAACAAUGAGAGUUGAUGCUCUAUCAAAAUUGAAUCACCUAGAGUUUCUCUCACUUCAGAAUGUGAAUUGUUCGAAGUCUCAAAUAUCUUUCCGGAGAAUUAGGAUAUUUUAUUUGGCAUAAAUAUCCUUUUGUGUGUUUGCCCCCAAGUUUUCAGCCGGUGAACCUUGUUGAGUUGAUCCUACCUAAAAGCAACAUAAAAAUACUAUGGGAAGGUAAAAAGUGUCUGCCCUGUCUGAGACGUGUUGAUCUCUCUUACUCCAAAAAUCUAAUCAAGAUGCCAAAUUUUGGAGAGGCCCUAAACCUUGAACGGCUAAAUCUUGAAGGAUGUAUACAACUCAAACAUAUUGGCUCAUCCAUUAGUCAUCUAAGAAAGCUCACUUCUGUGAUUCUGGAAAAUUGCAAGGGACUUGUCAAGUUACCAAAUUUUGGAGAGGGCCACAUUCUUCAAUGCCUAAAUCUUGGGGGAUGCAUACAACUGAGCCACAUCAAUCCAUCGAUUGGUCUUCUAAAAAAGCUUACUUUUUUGAAUUUGAAAGACUGCAAAAGUCUUGUAAGCUUACCGAACUACAUAUUGAGCCUCAGUUCUCUCGAAUGUCUGAAUCUCUCCGGCUGUUCAAAAUUGAAUAAUAUUGGACCUUUACAUUCUAUUCAUUGCUGGUUUCCUCCCUGUAUGCGUCAAUGUGAUAUAAGUUUCUGCAAUUUACUUCAAAUCCAUGAUGCUAUUGGAGACUUACCUUGCUUAGAAACCUUAAAUGUAAGUGGAAACAAUUUUGCUACCCUUCCCAACCUCAAGGAGCUUCGCAGACUGUUCCAUUUAAACUUACAGCACUGCAAGAAGUUGAAAGAUUUGCCUGAGCUCCCUUUACGAGUUGACCUGCUGUCAAAAGCUUACAUGCCACCAUGGCCAGUUAUAGAACCUCUACCUUGGGGAAGAGUAGCAGGAUUAUAUAUUUUCAACUGCCCAAAAUUAGUUGAGAGGGAACACUGUGCCAGAAAGACUAUUUCAUGGAUGAUAAAAGUUAUUCAGGAAUGCCACCAAUACAAACUACUUGAGUUCCAUCUGGUGGUUCCAAGAAUUGAAGUUAUUAUUCCUGGAAGUGAAAUACCAAGUUGGUUCAACAACCGGCAUGAGGGCAGUUUAAUAAGCAUAGACCCAUCUUCCAUUGUGCAGCGUGACAAUAAUUGCAUUGGAGUUGUCUGUUGUGCAGUAUUCUCUGCUGGUCACCAAAGGAGAAAUUUUUCAGUGAUGAGUCCUCCAAAAACAAAUGGAGUUUUCCCUGCUAAUGUUCCAGUAGUUCUUGAGGGGGACUUAAUCACGGACAAUUUAGAUCAUCUGGGGCUAUUCUUUUUCACUCUGGCACAAUUCUUUAAAACAUGUUCCUGGAACACACCUAACCCUGGUGACGUGAAAUGGGAAUUUGAAAUAAGGGACCAGAAAGGUUUUGAUGUUAAGGUGAAGAACUGCGGGUAUCGUUGGAUCAAGUUCACCUGGACUUUUGGGGUAAAUAGUCCAAUCAUCUCUUUACAAGGAAUAAUCUUCAUCCAUCCUUUCUUCAUGUAUUUCUCUCUAAGGAAAAGAGAAGCUAGAGCUUGAAUCAUUUUGGGUUUUGAAGAGUAAAGAUAGGUGGGAAAAGGUGAGGAUUUUCCUAAUCCUAUAAUUUUCAAUUUGCAUGCAAAUUUGAUUCUUAGAGCACUAUGUCUCUCUUUGUCUAAUUGGAUGCCUUGUUAGUCUAAUACAUAUUUAGAACCUGUUUUUGAUGUGUAUUGAGCCCUAUGCCCCAAAUUUGUUCUGUAAAUAUGGAUUUAAGAACAGCCAUGGUAAUUGCCUUGGUGUUAAAAUAAAGUUUUCCAAGGACUAGUGUCUUAAAGCUUAUUAAAAUUCAUAUCAUUUAUUUUCUUGAAUUUCUUGUUGGUGAAUUUAUAAAAUUAGGAGAUUUUCAUGCAGGGAUUUCCCAUAUGUCUAAUGCAUGAUAUAUGAUUUUAAGUGAGGAUAUUAUUGGUUCUCUAAGUCCCAAGUAGAAUAGGAGCCUUGCAAGAUUGACCAGCCAAGUAUUGAGAAGCCUUUAGGAAGAUGCAUCAGAGUGGUAUAGGUCAACAUCAAAAUUGUAGAUGAUAGUGAUUGUUAGCAAUAUGUCCAAAACCUAUACAAGCAGGGCCAAGAGGAAUGUGGCAUGACCUUAGUACCUAAAAGACUAUGAGGCUUGAAGGAAUUGGCUUUAUUUUAUCUUUCUUCUUUCUUCUUAAUAUCUAUAUGGCUAUGUUUUCCUUGUUCACAAUGAAAUGGAGUUGCUUUUAAUGCCUAGGAAUUCUGGGGAUCUUCCUUUAGUUCAAUGGCCACUUUUUCUACUUGCAAGCAAGCUCGCUGCUAGUGUACGUACGUACGAGUUCUCUACACAUAGGAAAGUCAUUAUCUGGAAACCCUAGCCUUGAACGCUGCCGCAAGCUUGGUCGUCACCUCCUUCACUCUACCGUGAGGUUCAAAUUGUGGCGCAAGCUCCAUCGCUGUUUGCUAUUGUCAUUGUCUAUUUGAUUCGAUCUCGACAACCAGUUGCCUCUGACCAUUGUGUUGAAAUUGAGUUCUAAUUUAUUGGUGGGUGAAAUACCUUUUGGACUUGGUCAAAAAUCCUUGAUACACCUCUGUGAGAAAUAUGACAUUAGUAAGGAGAAAUUGGUCCAGUUUUGUCAAAACCACAGAGACCCCUCGUAGGAGAUGUGCGGAAAAAGGCACAGGCCAUCCAGAAGCAAAACAUUGUCCCCACGUAUUGUCUCGUGAGGGUUAUGAAUAUUUAAAACAAAAGCUCAUGGCUGAGAAGACAAAGAAAAGACUGGAGGAAGCUACCCAAUCCGGAAGCACUAAGGGCAUCAUUGACCCUCCAUCUUCCAUCAGACGCUACGUGAAGUGGAAGAUGGCCCGCUUCAAGAAAACUGGGCAGAUGACGUCUGAGGCAGCAAAGGAAAUAACUGAGAAGAUUGUAAGUCAUUUUCAAUUAAGAAUUGUAAUUAUCUUUGUGUAUUCUAUGAAUGCCUUGGACAAAUAUAUGUGUUCUGUACAAGAUUCUUUGGAGGAGCAGGCAUCACAGGGAUCGUUCGUCGCCCAUGGACGUCAAGAUGUCCUGAUUGCUGCCAUUGGGCGACCAGAGCACCCUGGCCAUGUCCGUGUUGCUGGAGUCGGUGUCACCAUAAAGCAAUACUUUUGAUCGGCUCUAUGAACGUCCCGUAGUUCUUCCUCUAUUCCUCCUAAAGACCUACAACAGUUGAUCCAACAGAUCAGGGAUCAGCUUGAGGAGUCAAUCAUAGAAAAAGUGAUUCGGCAGGUGAUGGCAUCCUUUAGCCGGAUACAGUCCCAAUUUCAGUCUCAGAUGCAUUCACAGGGACUUGCACUGCCUCCAGAGCUAGAGGUUGGUCCCUCAGGGAACAAUCCAGAGACGGGUGACUUAGACAAAUGCGGGUUGUACAUUGAAAAAAAUUCUUCCCGCCUAGUUGCCCUAGGAAAACUUUAUGAGGGAUCCACAGCAAUUUCAUAAUAUCCCUUUGUUGCAUGGCCAAAUGAAGGUUGGUGUU